This 2902-nucleotide ribosomal RNA is filed under the name Clostridium perfringens. RNAcentral's name for it is "bacterial LSU rRNA". It matches the Rfam family "Bacterial large subunit ribosomal RNA". The record is from RNAcentral. Lineage: Bacteria; Bacillati; Bacillota; Clostridia; Eubacteriales; Clostridiaceae.
UCAAGCUACAAAGGGCGCAUGGUGAAUGCCUUGGCAUCAGGAGCCGAUGAAGGACGUGAUAAGCUGCGAUAAGCUUCGGGUAGGCGCACAUAGCCUGAGAUCCGAAGAUCUCCGAAUGAGGAAACUCACAUGGGAAACCCCAUGUAUCAUUAAGUGAAUACAUAGCUUAAUGAAGGUAACCCAGGGAACUGAAACAUCUAAGUACCUGGAGGAAGAGAAAGAAAAAUCGAUUUUCUUAGUAGCGGCGAGCGAAAGGGAAAAAGCCCAAACCGGAAACUUGUUUCCGGGGUUGUGGACAGAACAUAACGAUUGGUAGGACGUAAUCGAAGAGAACUGGAAAGUUCCACCGUAGAAGGUAAUAGUCCUGUAGAUGAAACGGGAAAUCAAUCAGUUCUGAUCCAGAGUACCACGAGACACGUGAAACCUUGUGGGAAGCAGGGAGGACCACCUCCCAAGGCUAAAUACUACCUGAUGACCGAUAGUGAAGCAGUACCGUGAGGGAAAGGUGAAAAGAACCCCGGGAGGGGAGUGAAAUAGAACCUGAAACCGUGUGCCUACAACCGCUCAGAGCCCCUUAUGAGGGUGAUGAGGUGCUUUUUGUAGAACGAGCCAACGAGUUACGGUAUGUAGCAAGGUUAAGUACUUAAGGUACGGAGCCGAAGGGAAACCGAGUCUGAAUAGGGCGACUAGUUGCAUGCCGUAGACCCGAAACCGGGUGACCUAUCCAUGGCCAGGUUGAAGCGAGGGUAAAACCUCGUGGAGGACCGAACCACGUUGCUGUUGAAAAAGCAUGGGAUGAGCUGUGGAUAGCGGAGAAAUUCCAAUCGAACCCGGAGAUAGCUGGUUCUCUCCGAAAUAGCUUUAGGGCUAGCGUCGAGUAUGAGUAGUGGAGGUAGAGCACUGAAUGGGCUAGGGGGCAUAGCGCUUACCGAACCUUAUCAAACUCCGAAUGCCACAUACUUUGAGCUCGGCAGUCAGACUACGAAUGAUAAGAUCCGUGGUCAAAAGGGAAACAGCCCAGAUCGUCAGCUAAGGUCCCAAAGUGUAAGUUAAGUGGGAAAGGAUGUGAGAUUUCUAAGACAACUAGGAUGUUGGCUUAGAAGCAGCCAUUCAUUAAAAGAGUGCGUAAUAGCUCACUAGUCGAGAGAUCUUGCGCCGAAAAUGUAACGGGGCUAAACUUACCACCGAAGCUACGGGCUUGAACUUAGUUCAAGCGGUAGGAGAGCGUCGUAACCGGGCUGAAGUCGUACCGUAAGGAGCGGUGGACUGGUUACGAGUGAGAAUGUUGGCAUCAGUAGCGAGAUGUGGGUGAGAAUCCCACAGGCCGAAAACCUAAGGUUUCCUCAGGAAGGUUCGUCCGCUGAGGGUUAGUCGGGACCUAAGCCGAGGCCGAAAGGCGUAGGUGAUGGACAACUGGUUGAUAUUCCAGUACCACUACCAUCGUUAUUAUCGAUGGCGUGACGCAGGAGGAUAGUGUGUGCUAGCUAUUGGAUGCUAGUCUAAGCGUUUAGGCAGUGAGAGUAGGCAAAUCCGCUCUCAUAAUGCUGAGGCGUGAUGGGGAAGGUUCUACGGAACCGAAGUACAUGAUUCCACGCUGCCAAGAAAAGCGUCUAGAGAGAGAAGUAGUGCCCGUACCGCAAACCGACACAGGUAGGUGAGGAGAGAAUCCUAAGGCCGGCGGAAGAAUUACAGUUAAGGAACUCGGCAAAUUGACCCCGUAAGUUCGCGAGAAGGGGUGCCUACGAGAGUAGGCCGCAGAGAAUAGGCCCAAGCAACUGUUUAGCAAAAACACAGGUCUCUGCUAAAGCGUAAGCUGAUGUAUAGGGGCUGACGCCUGCCCGGUGCUGGAAGGUUAAGGGGAACACUUAGCGUAAGCGAAGGUGUGAACUUAAGCCCCAGUAAACGGCGGCCGUAACUAUAACGGUCCUAAGGUAGCGAAAUUCCUUGUCAGGUAAGUUCUGACCCGCACGAAUGGCGUAAUGACUUGGGCACUGUCUCAACUGUAAAUCCGGCGAAGUUGUAGUGCGAGUGAAGAUGCUCGCUACCCGCGAUUGGACGGAAAGACCCCGUAGAGCUUUACUGUAGCUUAGCAUUGAGUUUUGGUAUUGUCUGUACAGGAUAGGUGGGAGACUAGGAAACCAGGGCGUCAGCCUUGGUGGAGUCAACCUUGGGAUACCACCCUGACAGUACUGAAAUUCUAACUGGCGGCCAUGAAUCUGGUCACAGGACAUUGUUAGGUGGGCAGUUUGACUGGGGCGGUCGCCUCCUAAAAAGUAACGGAGGCGCCCAAAGGUUCCCUCAGAACGGUCGGAAAUCGUUCGAAGAGUGCAAAGGCAGAAGGGAGCCUGACUGCGACACCCACAAGUGGAGCAGGGACGAAAGUCGGGCUUAGUGAUCCGGUGGUACCUCGUGGGAGGGCCAUCGCUCAACGGAUAAAAGCUACCUCGGGGAUAACAGGCUGAUCUCCCCCAAGAGUCCACAUCGACGGGGAGGUUUGGCACCUCGAUGUCGGCUCGUCGCAUCCUGGGGCUGAAGUAGGUCCCAAGGGUUGGGCUGUUCGCCCAUUAAAGCGGCACGCGAGCUGGGUUCAGAACGUCGUGAGACAGUUCGGUCCCUAUCCGUCGCGGGCGUAGGAAAUUUGAGAGGAGCUGUCCUUAGUACGAGAGGACCGGGAUGGACUGACCUCUGGUGUACCAGUUGUUCCGCCAGGAGCACAGCUGGGUAGCUAAGUCGGGAAUGGAUAAACGCUGAAAGCAUCUAAGCGUGAAGCCAACCUCAAGAUGAGAUUUCCCAUAGCAUAAGCUAGUAAGAUCCCUUGAAGAACACAAGGUUGAUAGGUCGGGGGUGUAAGCAUGGUAACAUGUUCAGCUGACCGAUACUAAUAGAUCGAGGGCUUGACCAA